UACGAAGGGGGCUAGCGUUGCUCGGAAUCACUGGGCGUAAAGCGCACGUAGGCGGCUUUGCAAGUUAGAGGUGAAAGCCCGGGGCUCAACUCCGGAAUUGCCUUUAAAACUGCAUCGCUAGAAUUGUGGAGAGGUAAGUGGAAUUCCGAGUGUAGAGGUGAAAUUCGUAGAUAUUCGGAAGAACACCAGUGGCGAAGGCGACUUACUGGACACAUAUUGACGCUGAGGUGCGAAAGCGUGGGGAGGCAAACAGG
Molecule: ribosomal RNA, 254 nt
Filed under: uncultured bacterium
Lineage: Bacteria
Description: partial 16S ribosomal RNA
Rfam family: Bacterial small subunit ribosomal RNA
Source: RNAcentral